This 468-nucleotide ribosomal RNA is filed under the name uncultured bacterium. RNAcentral's name for it is "partial 16S ribosomal RNA". It matches the Rfam family "Bacterial small subunit ribosomal RNA", at positions 28 to 507 of the family's 1533-position model. The record is from RNAcentral.
GACGAACGCUGGCGGCGUGCUUAACACAUGCAAGUCGAACGGAAAGGCCCUGCUUUUGUGGGGUGCUCGAGUGGCGAACGGGUGAGUAACACGUGAGUAACCUGCCCUUGACUUUGGGAUAACUUCAGGAAACUGGGGCUAAUACCGGAUAGGAGCUCCUGCAGCAUGGUGGGGGUUGGAAAGUUUCGGCGGUGUGGGAUGGACUCGCGGCUUAUCAGCUUGUUGGUGGGGUAGUGGCUUACCAAGGCUUUGACGGGUAGCCGGCCUGAGAGGGUGACCGGCCACAUGGGGACUGAGAUACGGCCCAGACUCCUACGGGAGGCAGCAGUGGGGAAUAUUGCACAAUGGGCGGAAGCCUGAUGCAGCAACGCCGCGUGCGGGAUGACGGCCUUCGGGUUGUAAACCGCUUUCGCCUGUGACGAAGCGUGAGUGACGGUAAUGGGUAAAGAAGCACCGGCUAACUACGUG